AUGAGUCUGAGUCAGGGCCCUGUGACCAGCGCCUCUGCCCUCAAGCAGACACGAUCCUGACCAAGAAACUGCCCCAGAGGACAACGCCACCAGCCCACCCUGGUGGCUGCUCCACACGUCCGAAGCGUGGACGAGAAGGUCAAGGCAGGAACCUCAGCCGCGUCUCGCCAUGGUGGAAAGCAACCUAGAUCGUUCUCGGCCUCUGUAUCAGCUCCCCAGAUCCUGCAUGUUAGAACCGUGGUUGUCAACCUUGAAUUUCUAUCAGAUGAAAUUCCAAGAGCUUCAGAUUCAGCAGUUAGGUUGGGGCCCAAGAAUUUGCGUUUCUACCGAGUUCCUGCUUCUAGGAUGUUCUGAUGUUGGGCCGGGCGCGGUGGCUCACGCCUGUAAUCCCAAGACAGGCAGAUCACAAGGUCAGGAGAUCGAGACCAUCCUGGCUAACACGGUGAAACCCCGUCUCUACUAAAAAUACAAAAAAUUAGCCGGAGGUGGUCACAGGCACCUGUAGUCCCACUUACUCGGGAGGCUGAGGCAGGAGAAUCGCUUGAACCCGGGAGGCAGUUACAGUGAGCAGAGAUGGUGCCACUGCACUCCAGCCUGGGCUACAGAGUGAGACUCCGUCUCAAAAAAGCAAGAAAAUUGUGAUGUUGCUGAUUGGUGGGCCAAACUUUCCUGAGAACCACUGCAUUGAACAAGGAGAUGAUCUGAGACAGGUGAAACCAGUGGAAUGAAUGUUUAAGAAACGUGCAAGCUUGGGAAAAAAGGCCAGCAACUUGGAACGAUCAAUCAAAAGGAUGUUUGGGAAGCUUAUCACCUCCACCUCUUGUUUGGUUUUUUUGUUUGUUUGUUUGUUUGUUUGUUUGUUUUUGAGACAGUCUCGCUCUCUCACCCAGGCUGGAGUGCAGUAACAUGAUCUAGGCUCACUGCAGCCUCUGCCUCCCGGGUUCAAGGAUUCUCCUGCCUCAGCCUCCAGAGUAGCUGGGACUACAGGCAUGUGCCACUGUGCCAGACUAAUUUUUGUAUUUUUCUUUUCUUUUUUAGUAGAGACGGUUUCACCAUGUUGGACAAGCUGGUCUCAAACUCUUGACCUCAGGUGAUCUGCCCGCCUUGGCCUCCCAAAGUGCUGGAAUUACAGGCAUGAGCCACCAAGCCCAGCCUCUCCUCCACCUCUUAAGUGUUUUCAAGGGAUAUGAUUAGCUGCCGAGGUGGAGCUGAUAUCUGAGCGAGGCUCUCGAGGACACAUUCUGGAUAGAUCUCCAUAUGGGAGUUGGAUAACUGCCACCAGCCAGUCUUGGCAGUCCCCAGAAUUCUUCUGAAGUGGACAGUGGAAGAAGUGAAACAUUUGCCUGGCAGCUGGCAUCAAUGCAGUCUCUCUCUGGAUAUGCAGAAGAAAAGGUUCAAAAGGAACUGAACCCAAUCCAGUCUUUAUAUGAUUUUAGAUGGAAUUAAAACAUUUUUGUGGAUCUCUACAAGUAUUGCCAGCAUUGCACCUGCCACACCUGAUAGGUAAGUCAGCUCUGGAGAACUUAGAGAUACAGAGUAAUAACCACUAAAAAUAUACAGAGAGAUUUGAUUAAAUAUUUAUAUCAAUGUGAGCCAACGUAGGUACGUUAAAAUAGCAAAGAUUGGAUGCAGUGAUCAUGGAAAUUUUAUGAUUCAAGACAAAGGUGGUUUCUUUAGGGUGCUGGCAUAUACUUACUGAGUUUAGUGCUUACUAAACUUACUGUAUGCUAGGCUGUUCUGAAUAAUAUGUUUAGGCUUUUAUUAAGUCCUCAUAAGGUACAUUCAAGUAUAUAAAGUACCUCCAAAUGUACUUUUAUUAUCCUCAAUCUACAGAUAAGGACAAGAGGCAGAGAGAGUUAAAUAACUUGCUAAAUAGUGUAGGGCCCAGGUUUUUAAGCAUCCUGCUAAACUGAGGAAAGACUGUUUAUUACGUGAAUGAAAACACUAUAUUCAUUCAUUCAUUGGUCAUUAUUUCAGUUCCUUAUUUCAGUUAUUAAUUACCAAUUCACUUUGUGUGUGUGAGAGACGGGUCUCGCUCUGUUACCCAGGCUGGAGUGCAGUGGUGCGAUUUCAGCUCACUGCAACCUCCGCCUCCCAGGCUCAAGCGAUCCUGCCACCUCAGCCUCUGAAGUAGCUGGGACUACAGAUGCGUGCCACCAUGCCCAGCUAAUUUUUGUAUUUUUUGUAGAGACGAGGUUACGCCAUGUUGGCCAGGCUGGUCUCCAACUCCUGAACUCAACCAAUCCUCUCACUGCAGCCUCCCAAGGUGGUGGGAUUACGGGCAUGAGCCACUACACCCCACCUGUUAAUUGCAUCUUUAUCUCAGUAGGUUGAAGUAUAUUUAUACAGCCUCUGCUCUGUGUCAAGUACUGAGCUGAGCUCAGCAGUUGCAAUGGCAGGAACACAGACCUGGCCCUAUUCCUUAUAUGGCUGACUCUCUAGUGGGAAAUAUGGACAUUAAACAAACGACCACCUAAAUAUAACACUGCAAACGGGAGUUCAUGGCAUGAACCAUGGAAUGCUAUCAAAGCACUGGGAUCCCAAUCUAAUCUGGGCAUCAGAGAAAGCUUCUCUGAGGAAUUAAAAUUUGGAUGAGGUCUCAAUAAUUAAUGUAUUAGGCAAACAGUAGGAGCAAGGAUGUUCCAGGCAGAGACCAACAACAUGGGUCAGGUGCACAGGACAUAAACCGAGCCAUCAAGAAGCUUCCAAUAUGAAAAGAGAAUAAACCCAUAGAGACAAGCAAUGAAGUGCUGCCAUGAGACAGAUGUGUGGGGCAUUUGAACAAUGGGAAAGUGCUGGUAGGAGAGAGGUGGUGUUCAAGUCAAUGAAAGCAAUGUAGGAUGAGAUCUGUAAGGAAGACUAGAUAAGCCAAGAGGCAUGCAGAGGAUCUUAUCCAUUUUAGAGCCCUGGGGGCUAUUUACUGGAGUAGCUGAAGAUGGCACUGUGGACACAGACUGAAAAGGAAGAAAUUUCUAUGAGCUCCAUGUGAGGCUUCAUAGAUGAGACCUAUGGAGCCAACCAAGAUCAUAUCCUGACACAGUGGUCAAAAUAAAGAAGCAAGUGUGAGCAGCGGUGAGGUGAUGGCUCAUUUAAAGAAAAGCCAUGCCCUGCAGACUGGUCCCAACUAGAGAACCCUUUCUCUAAUUGUCUGAAGAAUCCCUUUGGCAGGCUGUGUAAUACGCAUGACUCCAAUCUCUUGAAGUCUCUAGAUGGAGGCCACAUCCCAUUGCCUUUGCAAAACAUCCUCUUUAUCCAUGGAUGUUGAUACUGGAGAACUUAACAGAAAGAACUUCAUUCGUUCUGUGAAGAUUAGUGAAGCUCAUAUUAUUAUCUGACUACAGAACUGCUCAAUGUUCAUCCCAAAAAAGUAAGACUCCCUUAAAUAUCUGCAUAAGAUUCAUUUUCUAUGUUUUAUUUUCCUAAUUUUCUUCAAAGAAGACAUGUUACUUUUAUUAAUAAAAUAUUAAAAAUGUAAACCAGGGAAUCAGGGAAGGAAAAUGGCAGAUAGGAGGCAGGACUAAAUUGCAGCUGACACUCAGAGGGACAGAGCAGCAUGUGGAGACUCACGUUGUGAAUUUUUGCUCCAGAACUACUACUGCAGGAUUAUACCAGGAAAGCCAAGAGAAUCCACAGACCCUCUGAAGGAAGUAGAUUGCUCCUGCAGGACCCAGGAGACAGCCCAAAUACUACACAGCAAGAAGGUGCAAUCUAUGAACCAGAAAGUGGGCCCUCACCAGACACUGAAUCAGCUGGUGUCUUGACCUUGGACUUCCCAGCCACCAGAACUGCCAGAAAUAAAUUUCUAUUUUUUAUUAGUUAAAAAAAGUAAGCUAUAUAAAUUAUUCAUUAACAUAUGAAGCAAAAUGGAAUCAUAAAAAUGAAACAUUCAUUACAAUUUUUUGGAAACUACUAUUUGUUUUGUUUUGUUUUUGAGACUAAGCCUCGCUGUGUUGCCCAGGCUGGAGUGCAGUGGCUGUUCACAGAUGUGAUCAUGGCAUGCUGCAUCCCAAACUCCUGGCCUCAAGUGAUCCUCCUGCCUCAGUCUCAUGAAGAGUUGGGACUACAGGAGUGCACCACCACACCCAGCCUCGUUUGUUUUUGAAGAUAAGAUCCAUAUCUGAAUUUUUUAAAUCAGUGACUGAGCAACAUAAAACAUGAGUAUUUCCCAGAUUGCCCUUCUUUUGUUGAAAAUGUUAAAAAGUGAUCUUAAAUUUAUGGAUACAUAUAAAACACUAAGAUUUCUCCAUUUGAUUCAUGUACUUCAUAAUAGCUUGUGACAUGCUCAAAAUAACGUUUUUUUCAAUUAUUUCAUAUGCUCUUUUAAAAAUCACAUUUUAUUGAAUUUAUUCAUUCAUUCAUUUUGAACACCUAACAUAUACUAAUAAAUGUGCCAAGUCCAGAAGAUUCAAGGCUGAGUCAGAGGACAUCCUUGACUUUAAAAAGCUGAUGGUCUAGAAGAGCCAAGCCUACAUGAAAAUAAACGCAAUAACGACCAAAAGCACAAUUAUCGAAAUAUGUGCAGGGUAGAGGUGCUGAGCAGUGGGGAGAUACAGAAUAACUAAUGCCUAUUAGCUGCUUCUGUAUGUAUGUCAGGUAGUGUUCUAAAUGCUUACAUAUAUUAGCUCAUCGCCAACCUGUUAUCGUUUCCAUUAUCAUAUUGUUACACUCAUUUUACAGAUGAGGGACUGAGACAAAGAGUGGUUGCCUAGCUUGCCCAAAGUCACUCAGCUAUACCUAGUGGCAGAACCAGGAUUUAAAUAAAUGUAGGCCACUGGGCUUAUGAACUGUGUGCUCUCAACCUCUACACAUUUGCUGUCCGGACUGCCCAGCAGACUGUUUAGGAAGAAAUGCAAAGCACUUUAAGCAGAGAGAGCAGCUUGGGCAAGGGCACUAGUGCAGGAAAGACACAAGCACCUUGUGGAGUCAAGCAGAUAGGAUACCAGAAGGCUGAGGAAUAUGCCACAUUGUGGGGAGGCUUGGAUCAGUUUUGGUAGACAAUGAGAGGUCAUUGAAGGAUUUUAGUCAGAGGAGUGAUGGGGCAGAUGUUUCUUAAAAAGAUUAUUUUGACUGUGUUAGGGAAGAUGUGCUGCAGAGGGUCUGGAUGCAGGUGGGGAAGGGAGGAUGUGUUGCAGGAGGAUGUGUUGCAGAGUUAGUAUGUGCUGCAGAGGGUCUGGAUGCAGGUGGGGAAACUCCCUUUAGAGACCACUUCUCCCAGGUAAGAGAAGGCUGUAGCAGUGGAAUUGGAGAGAGAAGAAUGGACCAGAGCUAUUUUAAGGAAGACUAGGCUAGUGCUGGUUUUGAUUAGUGGAUGUCAAACUUAGUGGUCGUUUAGUAUUUUUAUAUGAAACCUUCAGCAGAAUCAACAGUGUGCUUCAUGAAGGCAGAGCCCAGAUUUGCUUUUCUUGCCAUUUUACUCCCAAGGCUUGGUAAUGUGCUCAGGAAAUGCUUAUUGACUGAAUGAGUUAGUGAAUAAACCAACAAAUAAGUAAAUAAAAAAAAGAAUGAAUCAAAGAAAUGACUCAGUAUUGGAUUAGACCAAGUGCAUAAGGGAAGAAGUUAAUGGACUCUCAAAUGACUUGCCGAAAAGAUUAAGUCAAUUUCUCUUUUCUUAUGCAAUAAAUUUUGUUUCCAAGCCUUUCUUAUGAGUAUUCUGUGUGGAAUAUAAAGCAACCAACUCAGCUCCACCAUUUAGCUAUUGGGAGACACAUGAAAGAGCCUGCCCAGCCCUGCCUGCCUCUGGGGGUCUCGGUCAUGUCAUGUGACUACAUCACUUGGCUCCGUUUCCAAGUUCCCCACCUCUAACCUCUCUGGAGCUCACAUUCAUCUUUCAAAAACAUCACUUCUGUUAUAUCACCCAUCACUCACUCCCUUCACUACACAUCUCUUUGCCCUGCUUUAGUUUUCAUCUGAGCACUUACUGUUUCCUGAUAUUACAUCAUUCAUUCGUUCAUUCAUUCAUUUUAUUUGGUUCUGUCUCUCUGUUAGUUUCCUAUUGCUGCAGUAGCAAAUUACCAUAAACUUAGUGGCUAAAAACACAGAUUUAUCUUGCAGUUCUUGAGGACAGAAAUCUGAAAUGGGCCUCACUGAGAUAAAGUCACUGUGACCAGGGCUGCAUUAUUUCUGGACGUUCCAGGGGACAAUCUUGUUUCCUUACCUCUUUCAGCUUCUAGAGCCUGCCCUCAUUUCUUAUUUUAUGGACCCCUUUGAUCUUUAAAGCUAGCAGAGGAAGCUUGAGUCUUUCUCAUGAUGCUAUCUCUCUGGUCUCACUCUUCUGCCUUCCACUUCCCCAUUCAAGGACUCUUGUGAUUAUAUUGGGCUCGCCUAGAUAAACCAGGAUAAUCUUAUUUUAAGGUCAGCUGAUUAGCAACUUUAAUUCUAGCUGCAAUUUUAAUUCCCCUUUGCCAUGUAACAACAUAUUUACAGAUUACAAGGAUUAGGAUGUGGAUGUCUUUUUUUUUUUUUUUUUUUUUUUUUUGAGACGGUGUCUUGCUCUGUCACCCAGGCUGGAGUGCAGUGGUGCAAUCUCGGCUCACUGAAACCUCCGCCUCCCGAGUUCAAGCAAUUCUCCUGCCUCAGUCUUCCAAGUAGCUGCAGGCAUGCGCCACCACGCCCAGCUAAUUUUUGUAUUUUUAGUAGAGACAGGGUUUCACCAUGUUGGGCAGGCUGAUCUUGAACUCCUGACCUUGUGAUCCACCCACCUCGGCUUCCCAAAGUGCUGGGAUUACAGGCGUGAGCCACCGCACCUGGCCCAGGAUAUGGAUGUCUUUGAGGGGCCAUUUCCUGCUCAGCACAAUCUGCCUCUUCUAGAAUUUAAGUCUCUUGAGAACAAAACCUUGUCUAUGUUGCUCUCUACAGUACAGCCAUUGAUUAGAAGAGGGCCAGUAUAUUGUAAGGAUGCAGUAAAUAUGCUUUGAAUAAAUCAGCAAAUCUUGUCCUUCUCUUUCACAAUCCACCUCAUACCAAGGUAGAAUAAUUUUCCUUCAUAUCAGCAUGGAUCAUAAUAUACUCUUUGAUAUGGUUUGGCUGUGUUCCCAUACAAAUCUUAUCUUGAAUUGUAGUUCCCAUAAUCCCCACGUGUCAUGGGAGAGAGCUGGUGGGAGGUAAUGAAUCAUGAGGGCGGUUACCCCCAUGCUGCUGUUCUCAUAAUAGUGAGUGAGUUCUUACAAGAUCUGAUGGUUUUAUAAGUUCCUAUUUUGCUCUGCACUUCUCUUUCCCGCUGCCAUGUGAAGAGGUACGUGUUUGCUUCCCCUUCUGCCAUGAUUGUAAGUUUCCUGAGGCCUCCCCAGCACUGUGGAACUGUGAGUCAAAUAAACCUCUUUCCUUUAUAAAUUACCCAGCUUGGUAUGCCUUUAUUAGAAUCAUAAGAAUGGACUAAUACACUCUUGCUCAGAGAACAUGAAUCGAGCACUUCUAGGUGAGAUGGCAGCUUGGCCCCAGCCACUUUGUUUUUCCU
Symphalangus syndactylus (siamang) is the source of this 7453-nucleotide long non-coding RNA. RefSeq lists it as uncharacterized. The record is from RefSeq and is a predicted model, not a curated record. Lineage: Eukaryota; Metazoa; Chordata; Mammalia; Primates; Hylobatidae.